This 253-nucleotide ribosomal RNA is filed under the name uncultured bacterium. Its description in RNAcentral is "partial 16S ribosomal RNA". It matches the Rfam family "Bacterial small subunit ribosomal RNA", at positions 524 to 776 of the family's 1533-position model. The record is from RNAcentral.
UACAGGGGGGGCAAGCGUUGUUCGGAAUUACUGGGCGUAAAGGGCCAGUAGGCGGCCAACUAAGUCACACGUGAAAUCCCCAGGCUUAACCUGGGAACUGCGUGUGAUACUGGAUGGCUUGAAUUCGGGAGAGGGAUGCAGAAUUCCAGGUGUAGCGGUGAAAUGCGUAGAUAUUGGGAAGAACACCGGUGGCGAAGGCGGCGACCUGGUCCUUUACUGACGCUGAGGCGCGAAAGCGUGGGGAGCAAACAGG